UACGGAGGGUGCGAGCGUUGUCCGGAAUCACUGGGCGUAAAGGGCGCGUAGGCGGCCUGAUAAGUAGGGGGUGAAAUCCUGCGGCUUAACCGCAGGGCUGCCUUCUAAACUGUCAGGCUAGAGCACAGUAGAGGCAGGUGGAAUUCCCGGUGUAGCGGUGGAAUGCGUAGAGAUCGGGAGGAACACCCGUGGCGAAGGCGGCCACCUGGGCCGACCCUGACGCUGAGGCGCGAAGGCGUGGGGAGCGAACGGG
Molecule: ribosomal RNA, 253 nt
Filed under: uncultured bacterium
Lineage: Bacteria
Description: partial 16S ribosomal RNA
Rfam family: Bacterial small subunit ribosomal RNA
Source: RNAcentral